This is a non-coding RNA of Mustela putorius furo (domestic ferret), 109 nucleotides long. The record is from Rfam. Lineage: Eukaryota; Metazoa; Chordata; Mammalia; Carnivora; Mustelidae.
GUGCUCGCUUUGGCAGCACAUAUACUAAAAUUGGAAUGAUACAGAGAGGAUUAGCAAGGCCCCUGUGCAAGGAUGAACAUAGAGUUCAGUGGUUGCACAGCAGAAUCAU